RNAcentral lists this ribosomal RNA (515 nucleotides) under Blastocystis hominis. RNAcentral describes it as "bacterial SSU rRNA". It matches the Rfam family "Eukaryotic small subunit ribosomal RNA", at positions 513 to 1034 of the family's 1831-position model. The record is from RNAcentral. Lineage: Eukaryota; Bigyra; Opalinata; Blastocystidae.
AUUGAGAACAACGUACAAACCUUAUCGAUAAACAAUUGGAGGGCAAGUCUGGUGCCAGCAGCCGCGCUAAUUCCAGCUCCAAUAGCGUAUAUUAACGUUGUUGCAGUUAAAAAGCUCGUAGUUGAAAUGAAGGGUAGUUGUGUAAUGAAUACAUUCGUGUAUUUUGUUAUUCUACUACCCUCCUUCUAAAUUCGAUAUAUGAGUAUUAAUUUACUUGUAUAUGGUUUUAGACGUUUACUGCGAGAAAAUUAGAGUGUUCAAAGCAGGCAUUUGCUUGAAUAUAUUAGCAUGGAAUAAUCAUGUAUGAUUUUCAUGAUGUAUUUGAUUGGUUUGGUUCAUGAGAAUAAGAUUAAAAGGGACAGUUGGGGGUAUUCAUAUUCAAUAGUCAGAGGUGAAAUUCUCGGAUUUAUGGAAGAUGAACAAGUGCGAAAGCAUCUACCAAGGAUGUUUUCAUUAAUCAAGAACGAAAGUUAGGGGAUCGAAGAGGAUUAGAUACCCUCGUAGUCUUAAAUAUA